RNAcentral lists this ribosomal RNA (263 nucleotides) under uncultured bacterium. RNAcentral describes it as "partial 16S ribosomal RNA". It matches the Rfam family "Bacterial small subunit ribosomal RNA", at positions 333 to 610 of the family's 1533-position model. The record is from RNAcentral.
UAUGUCCUACGGGAGGCAGCAGUGGGGAAUAUUGGGCAAUGGAGGAAACUCUUACCCAGCAAUGCCGCGUGAAUGAAGAAGGUCUUCGGAUUGUAAAGUUCUUUAAUUGGGGACGAAAAAAAUGAUGGUACCCAAGGAAUAAGCCCCGGCUAACUACGUGCCAGCAGCCGCGGUAAUACGUAGGGGGCAAGCGUUGUUCGGAAUGACUGGGCGUAAAGGGAGUGUAGGUGGUGUAGCAAGUUAGAAGGGAAAUACCUAGAGGU